UUGGAGGGCAAGUCUGGUGCCAGCAGCCGCGGUAAUUCCAGCUCCAAUAGCGUAUAUUAAAGUUGUUGCAGUUAAAAAGCUCGUAGUUGAAUUUCGGGAUCAGCAGGUUGGUCGUGCCUCUGGUAUGCACUGGUUUCGCUGAUUCCUCCUUUCUGAAGAACUGUAAUGUCAUUAAUUUGGUGUUGCAGGGAAACAGGACUGUUACUUUGAAAAAAUUAGAGUGUUUGAAGCAGGCUAACGCUUGAAUACAUUAGCAUGGAAUAAUGAAAUAGGACGUUUGAUCCUAUUUUGUUGGUUUCUAGGAUUGACGUAAUGAUUAAUAGGGAUAGUUGGGGGCAUUAGUAUUCAAUUGUCAGGGGUGAAAUUCUUGGAUUUAUUGAAGACUAACUACUGCGAAAGCAUUUGCCAAGGAUGUUUUCAUUAAUCAAGAACGAAAGUUAGGGGAUCGAAGACGAUCAGAUACCGUCGUAGUCUUAACCAUAAACUAUGCCGACUAGGGAUCGGAUGAUGUUAAUUUUUUAAUGACUCAUUCGGCGCCUUACGGGAAAC
Molecule: ribosomal RNA, 549 nt
Filed under: uncultured Glomeromycotina
Lineage: Eukaryota; Fungi; Glomeromycota
Description: SSU rRNA
Rfam family: Eukaryotic small subunit ribosomal RNA
Source: RNAcentral